This 335-nucleotide unclassified non-coding RNA is filed under the name soil metagenome. RNAcentral describes it as "partial contains 5.8S ribosomal RNA, internal transcribed spacer 2, and large subunit ribosomal RNA". The stretch from base 1 to 120 matches the Rfam family "5.8S ribosomal RNA", at positions 35 to 154 of the family's 154-position model. The record is from RNAcentral.
GAUGAAGAACGCAGCGAAAUGCGAUAAGUAAUGUGAAUUGCAGAAUUCAGUGAAUCAUCGAAUCUUUGAACGCACAUUGCGCCCGCCAGUAUUCUGGCGGGCAUGCCUGUUCGAGCGUCAUUUCAACCAUCAAGCCCCCGGCUUGUGUUGGGGACCUGCGGCUGCCGCAGGCCCUGAAAACCAGUGGCGGGCUCGCUAGUCACUCCGAGCGUAGUAAUACAUCUCGCUCAGGGCGUGCUGCGGGAUCCGGCCGUUAAAAAGCCUUAUUUACCCAAGGUUGACCUCGGAUCAGGUAGGAAGACCCGCUGAACUUAAGCAUAUCAAUAAGCGGAGGA